Molecule: transfer RNA, 74 nt
Rfam family: tRNA
About the family: Transfer RNA (tRNA) molecules are approximately 80 nucleotides in length.
GCGGAUCUCACAUAGUGGCAGUGUGCCGGCGUGCCAAGUCGGCUGUGCGGGUUCGAUUCCCGCGAUCCGCACCA